UUUAAUGAUUCUAAUUUAUGGCCAAAUCUGAUAAUUUGAUAUGACUAGUAAAUUAUCCAAAAUAGUUGUUAAACACUUUGUUAAAGCGCAUAUUGCUAUUCAUGCUUUUAUUUUUUUUACCUUUUAUAGAAAAAAAAAAGCACGAGUAAUUUUUCUAUGAAUAGUUUGGAUUCUACGAUCAUGAAUUGAUGUUUGAGGCUAAUAAUAAACGUCCAUCUUGAGAUUGAAAUUAAAACAAUUAAUUAAUAUAUAGGAUUUUGAGUAUGGUGAAACAUUGUUAUGAUUUUCAUUUUUCCUUGUUAUUCUUUUUUAAAUAUAUGUAUGGUCAUUUAUGGUAAAAGGCAGAGGUCAUGUCACAAAGCUAGCAAUUAAUAGGAGAGCAUUGGUAAAGGCUAUAUAUAUAUAUAUUUUUGUUGUGUUAGAUAAAGUAGAUGAGAAAGAAAAAGAAGAAGAUGAAAUCAAUCGGAUGGAAAUGGGUUGAGAAGGAAUCGCCUUUCACAGAGCACCGUAUGAUUGCGGGCCCCUCGUAAUCAAAUAUAAGAUAGAACUCAAUUUGAAUUUGAACGAGAAAGUAUAAGAACGGUUCAGAUUCAUUCUAAUUUUCAGAUUGUUGAAACGGAGAGAAAUGGAGGCACGGAGAGAGAGAGAAAAUUUCGUUGCGUCGUGCUUUCAGACACGAGCAAUUAUUAGUACUACUAUAUGUUAUAGUAUCAGCGAGCAAUAAUUCUGCAUGCAAAAUGCACAUGAUACUAAAACUAUAAUCAUAUUAAUACACGAAAUUAAAUAGUAUUAUAGAGUUAAUUUAUCCACGAAACUUGUAAAAAAAUAAGAUAGAAUCAUUUUCUAAUAUAUAUAGACAUAUAUUUAAUUAAGGAUAAAACUUAUUAAUUAAGCAUAUUAUAGUAUGGUACGAUGUAUAAGAAUAUAAGGCAACGUAUAUAAAUUAUGCAUGGGUGAUGGGAUGGGACCUCCAGCCCUCACUCUUACCCUUAGCAGGUGCUGAGAGGUUUGUACGUAUGUAUAUGGAGAAGGAAUGGCAGAUAUGUCCGUCCACCUACACUCUUACCAAAAGGUUGUGACGUUGAUCACUUCAAAGCACAUAAUAUUUAUAUUAUCCACAUAAAACGGGAGGUAUAUACUUGGCCUCGUUCUAAAAUAAAAGAGAUUAUUUUAAAAAAUUAAAUUUAUUUUAUGUGUUCAAAUUUAUUUUUAAUAUUAACUAAAAAUUUAUAGUGAUCGAUACUGGUGCAUGUAAUGUUUGUGAUAAAUUAAGAAUUAAUUUUAUUGAAUUAAAUAGAAUUAUAAAAAAGCUCGAAGCACAUAUCUCUAAAAGAAUUAUUACUAAUUGAUAAUCAAAAAGAUUUGCAAUAUACUAUAAUAUUAUUUGGUUAUUUUAAUUGUGUGUAUGGAGAGAGGGAGAGAGAACCCACUUAAUUCCGUAGUACACACUUUGCCACACACCCAAGAGGAACGCAAAUAGAAACAUGGAUGCUUCUUGUCUGCCUAUAUAAAACGAUACCACUCAAACCUCCCAACCCUUAUCUACAAUUUAUACCUUGAUAUCUGCCUUUGCUUUAAUUAAUUUCUUAGAAAGAAAUUAAGCUGGUUUAAUUUUUUCUUGUUGGCGGAAAUUAUCAAGGCUACCUACAAACAUAUAUAUACGUACUCAUAUAAUUACUCGAUCAUUCACUUUGGAUAUUCAUGCUUUUACCAAUUAAUAAAUUAUUAAAAUUCUUAAGACUUAAGUAACUUAAUAUUUACUGACAAAUUAAACGUACAACCGGUAAAAUUGCUCUAAUUUUUUUUAAUAAUAUUUAUUUAUAUAGACAGACAAACGAAAUGAAAGUCGUCUUAAGACUCUAAAGCCUAAAUGGAUUCACUAGUUAUUAUUCUAAUCGCUAGCACCUAGCAAUGCGCAUUUUGUACGAUUUUAAUUUGUAAAACGGUAAUGGGGUUCUUAGAGGAAUGAUUACCUUAAUAAUUAAAGGUUCUUAAAGUUAUAAAUUAGUGUUUAUUAGGUCAACCGUUUCUCUAAUUGGUUGACUAGCUAUAGGAUAUAUAUUUUUUUAUCAUCUAUAAAAAAUUGUAUACAACAUAUAUAAUAUCUUAAAUCAAGAUGAAUUGCUUCCUUCUUAGUUGACUCAUAUAAGAAAUUAUUACCCAAGGAAGGUGCUUUAGUUACAUAAUUUUUUAGUACUGAUGAUUAUAUAUAAUUAAUUAUGUUUAGUAUCAUUCCUUAAUUCGGUUUGAAUAUUUACAUAAUUAAAGGUAUCAAAUUAAUUAGUCGAUUAAUUAAGACAUUAUUAGUAAACUAAACCACGCACAAAUUAAUUAGUCGUCUAAGUUUUGACACCAUAUACUUCAAUCCUUAAUAUUUCUCAAGGGUUUACUUUUUAGGGUUGUUAUUUUAUUGUCUAUUAGCGUUUGCAUUUAGUACAUAAAAGGGGUUCGAAAUGAUUAAGGGCUAAAUUUUUUUAGGAGGGAAAAUAAAGGAAGAUGCUUGAAUACAUGCAUGCGGACUCAAAUUCAAUUGGUCAAAUAUUUUGAGAUAUUAUAAUUUGGAGUGCUUUACAUGUUUUCAACUUCUUUCUAAUUAUUUCAAAUAAUUCUUAUACCAAUUAAUUUUACGUUUAUUUAUUUCUAUUGGAGAUAAUUUUUCUGACUAAACUAACAAUGAAAUGUGCACAUAUAUGUACCAUACUACUACAAGACAUGCAUCAUUUUAAAGUGUCAUGCAAAGUAACAAAUGUGCACGUACGUAUAUUAAUUACUCCUAAGCUUGAAAUUAUAUAACACUUCCAAUUAUACUUAAAAUAAAAUGUAAUGUAAGAAGCACUAUAUAUACACAAAAAUAUAUCAACCAUUAAUUAAUUUGCAAGUGGAUUUAAAUUGUCAAAUAAAUGGUACCGAUAGCGAAUAGGAAUGAGCCACAUAAUCAAGUGGAGGAAAAUGAGUCUACUAAAAGGCACAGCUGGUAAUGGUGGUUCCAGUAGAAUAUGUAGUUAAAAAAUGAGACCAUAGGUUAUGGAAAAAGAGAGCAUAUGGUUCUGCAAUUCCACCACCACCACCAAACUCCAUAUAUAUAUAUAUAUAUCCAACUCUUAUAAUAGCUAACUAAUAGCUCCUUCCACAAUAUAUUCCCACUUGCACCGGCCACUGAGAGAGACAACCUCCAUAUCUAUAUAUAUAUAUAUAGAUAUUAUACCUGUAGCUAUACCAUGAGCGAGUGAUUCAGCCUAUUUCCCGGCCAAUUACCCUUUUCUUUUCUUUUCCACUAAAAAUAUUGAUAUUAUAAUAAUAAAUAAAUAAUAAAAAAUAAAAAACAAACCAACCACAAGAUUACAAAUAAUUAAUAUGCGCCCCUUGUACGUAUUCACGCACGUACUUUGGGGCUAUGACAUAUUUGGACUGUUUCUUGCUAUCCUUUUGCAUGUAAUUUCUCCUCCAUACGUAGCAGUAGCGCCAGCAUGCACCCACUUCAAUAUACUCAACUCUGAAGCUACUUUUUUCCCCUUAAAAACAUAAAAUAAAGUAUAUAAAAUGAAGCAUAAAUAUGUUAUUUAAUAAAAUUUAUUACUAUAAAAAAAAUAAAAGUAUUCAUAAUUUUAUAUAAUUUUAUAGGGCCAUUAAUUAAGGAUAAAUUUAAAUUUUUUAUUUAUGUGUAUAAAUUAUUCUUUACUCAUUAUUUUGAGGACUGAGGGAGUAUACCACAACACUCUCAUAUGUCAAUUUCAUUUGACUUUUUAUUGCACACAUGCCAAGAUUUGUUUAUUUCUUUUGAUAAUUAUGUUGAAAUUUAUUCAGUUAGUAAUACUAAUUUUCUAGAAAAAUAUUUAAAUAUAAAUUAGUGUGCGUUAAUUUUCUUAGUUAUUUUCAUUCUUUGAACAUGAGACCAUUAGAAUAAUUUAUUUUCGAAGAGUGUGGCAGACAAAUUAAAUCAAAAGUCAUCGAGAUGAGACUUUUAUUAGUGGACAUAAAGGAGUACUUGUAAUGACUAAAAUUUAUACUUUGCAAAUAUAUUCAAUCUUGUAUAUAGCAUAAGCAUGUACAUUUUAAUUUGUUAUCAAAUUUUGGAAAAUUGAGAAGCGCUGAUAUAUAUAUAUAUAUAUAUAUGGUUGAAAUAAAAAUAAAAGAAAAAAGAAAGAAAAAUAAAACAUGCAUAUAUCAACAUAACUAACUAAGAACAUAUAUGGGUCUUCAGAUCGAGUGGAGGAAAAAAAGUCAUGAUUUAAUCGAUCACAACUAAUUAAGAAUAAAAGGCUCAGUGAGUUCAUGGGUUAACUUUAUACCGUGGAAAUGUAAAUGCUCUUACACAUCAUUCAAACUCAACUUGAUUAUUAUUGGGUGAUAUUAUUAGUAGUAUGACUUUGUUAAUUCUCUCUUCUGAUACAAACUAAUCAGAAAAGAAUGCUUUUGCAGGAAGGUGAGAUGAUACAGGUUGUAACGGCUGGGCCAAAAGGGGUUACUCCCAACAACCGCGGUUGCUGUGGAUGGAGACCCAUAUAUAUAUAUAUAUAUNNNN
This 4522-nucleotide long non-coding RNA is filed under the name Panax ginseng (ginseng). RNAcentral's name for it is "long non-coding RNA (PGIN_LNC009462)". Lineage: Eukaryota; Viridiplantae; Streptophyta; Magnoliopsida; Apiales; Araliaceae. The record is from RNAcentral.